AGUGAACGCUGGCGGCAGGCCUAAUACAUGCAAGUCGAACGGCAGCACAGCAGAGCUUGCUCUGUGGGUGGCGAGUGGCGGACGGGUGAGGAAUACAUGGGAAUCUGCCCAGUCGUGGGGGAUAACGUAUGGAAACGUACGCUAAUACCGCAUGCGCCCUACGGGGGAAAGCCGGGGACCGCAAGGCCUGGCGCGAUUGGAUGAGCCCAUGUUCGAUUAGCUAGUUGGCGGGGUAAAGGCCCACCAAGGCGACGAUCGAUAGCUGGUCUGAGAGGAUGAUCAGCCACACUGGAACUGAGACACGGUCCAGACUCCUACGGGAGGCAGCAGUAGGGAAUAUUGGACAAUGGGGGCGAACCCUGAUCCAGCCAUGCCGCGUGAGUGAAGAAGGCCCUCGGGUUGUAAAGCUCUUUUGUCCGGAAAGAAAGCAAUCGGUUAAUACCCGGUUGUUCUGACGGUACCGGAAGAAUAAGCACCGGCUAACUUCGUGCC
RNAcentral lists this ribosomal RNA (492 nucleotides) under uncultured bacterium. Its description in RNAcentral is "bacterial SSU rRNA". It matches the Rfam family "Bacterial small subunit ribosomal RNA", at positions 29 to 509 of the family's 1533-position model. The record is from RNAcentral.